RNAcentral lists this transfer RNA (74 nucleotides) under Verrucomicrobiales bacterium. Its description in RNAcentral is "tRNA-His". It matches the Rfam family "tRNA". Rfam says of the family: Transfer RNA (tRNA) molecules are approximately 80 nucleotides in length. Their secondary structure includes four short double-helical elements and three loops (D, anti-codon, and T loops). The record is from RNAcentral. Lineage: Bacteria; Pseudomonadati; Verrucomicrobiota; Verrucomicrobiia; Verrucomicrobiales.
GUGAUCAUGAUGUAACAGCAGCAUCCCGCUUUGUGAAGGCGGUUGUGCCGGUGCGAAUCCGGUUGGUCACCCCA